This 765-nucleotide ribosomal RNA is filed under the name Sergentomyia adleri. Its description in RNAcentral is "eukaryotic LSU rRNA". It matches the Rfam family "Eukaryotic large subunit ribosomal RNA", at positions 1488 to 2107 of the family's 3401-position model. Lineage: Eukaryota; Metazoa; Arthropoda; Insecta; Diptera; Psychodidae. The record is from RNAcentral.
UGACUGAAGUGGAGAAGGGUUCCGUGUGAACAGUGGUUGAUCACGGGUUAGUCGGUCCUAAGCUCUAAGCGAAAGCUGAUAUUUAAAAUAUAUAAGUCAAACAAAAAAUAUACAUAUAGAUGACUUUAUAUUGAGCGAAAGGGAAUACGGUUCCAAUUCCGUAACCUAUUGAGUAUACGUUUAUUGUGGGUCCUAUAUAAUUUAGCAAUAUUUUAUAUAGGUUUAAAGCUCAUCCUGGUAACAGAAGCUACCAUAGAGAAGCCGUCGAAGCAUACCGAAAGAGUUAUCUUUUCUGUUUCAUAACUGUAUUACCAUGGAAGUCUUUCGAAGAGAGAUAUGGUAAAUGAGUUAGAAGAGCAUGGCGUUUAUUGCUGUGUCGGGUAUGUAUUCCUCGGACCUUGAAAAUCUAUGGUAGGGCCACGUUUACAUUCUCAAUAGACCGUACCAAUAUCCGCAGCAGGUCUCCAAGGUUAAGAGUCUCUAGUCGAUAGAAUAAUGUAGGUAAGGGAAGUCGGCAAAUUAGAUCCGUAACUUCGGGAUAAGGAUUGGCUCUGAAGAUUGCGAUGUGUCGGGCUUGUUUGGGAUGUAUAUUUUAUGUAUUGCUAAAGUAUCUGAUUAGUUGACUCUCUCAAAAGGGGAGUUGAUGAAAAGAUAUGAUUAUGCAAUACGAAAUACGGAACACUCAAGCUAUGCUAUAUACAAUUAAAAGAGAAAGUAAAAUUUCUCUGUAUAUAGAUUAUCAACGACCAUCAACAAACAAUCAAU